This is a small nucleolar RNA of Pteronotus mesoamericanus, 131 nucleotides long. RefSeq annotates it as small nucleolar RNA SNORA44. Lineage: Eukaryota; Metazoa; Chordata; Mammalia; Chiroptera; Mormoopidae. The transcript has a single exon. The record is from RefSeq and is a predicted model, not a curated record.
CAGCGUAUUUCCAAGGGCUGUGGCUGGUUGUAACCAUUGGCUCACCAACUGCACACGAGAACAAUCUGGAGAGUCUUUGCCAGCUCAUUUCAACAUAAUACCUGCAGCUACCACUCACCUUUCCUGUUCUA